Molecule: ribosomal RNA, 166 nt
Filed under: uncultured bacterium
Lineage: Bacteria
Description: partial 16S rRNA
Rfam family: Bacterial small subunit ribosomal RNA
Source: RNAcentral
UAGGGAAUCUUCGGCAAUGGGGGCAACCCCUGACCGAGCAACGCCGCGUGAGUGAAGAAGGUUUUCGGAUCGUAAAGCUCUGUUGUAAGAGAAGAACGUGUGUGAGAGUGGAAAGUUCACACAGUGACGGUAACUUACCAGAAAGGGACGGCUAACUACGUACCAG